UCACUUUUUAUUAACCCGUUUUGUGUUAUAAAGAGAGGGUCGGCUUGCCGACUAUGGCGAUAAACGCCUUGUGGAAUAGACGCUGCGGACCCGGGGGCGGUACCCGGCGCCUCCACCAGAGGACAGGGUGGGAUUUUUUCAAAUCCCUGUCUUCUGACGGGGGCGAAACAGGAUCGACGCGCGUGGUAAAGACAUGGUUUUUGCCCGGCAUGAUACCGCCGUUAUCGGGUCAUUUUUAUAAAUGCCAACGACAAUGUUGACAUGAGCGUUUAUGCCCAAGCUGCCUAAUCUCCGCAUUGCGGAAGCAAGGUAGUUGCAUAAUGCACGCGGCCCGGGGGGCGCCGGGCAACAGAAGCCCCCCAAU
RNAcentral lists this transfer-messenger RNA (364 nucleotides) under Alphaproteobacteria bacterium. It matches the Rfam family "Alphaproteobacteria transfer-messenger RNA". From Rfam's summary of the family: Bacterial tmRNA, also known as 10Sa RNA or SsrA, is named for its dual tRNA and mRNA-like properties. Its role is to liberate the mRNA from a stalled ribosome. To accomplish this part of the tmRNA is used as a reading frame that ends in a translation stop signal. The record is from RNAcentral. Lineage: Bacteria; Pseudomonadati; Pseudomonadota; Alphaproteobacteria.